GGCGGCAGAAUUCCAAAAAUAGUAGCAGCGGUUGAUGUCACUGGAGGUUCUUGGGGCAGUAAUUUAUCAAGAGUUUAUGAUCCUGAACUAAGGAUCAUACGGAGGAGGAUCUAUGUAUAACGUUCGGCACAAUGUUAGAUAGGAAGUAAGGGCGCAGUGCACUGGAGUUAUUUUUUCUUUUUUUGAGACGGAGUCUCGCUCUGAUGCCCAGGCCGGAGUUGCAGUGCCGCGAUGUUGCCUCACUGCAACCUUCUCCGCCACAUGGGUUCAAGUGAUUCUCCUGCCUCAGCCCCUCGAGUAACUGGGAUUACAGUCGCAUGUCACCACGCCUGGCUAAUGUUUUCCAUUUUUAGUAGAGACGGUUUCACCAUGUCGGCCAGCCUGGUGUUGAACUCCUGAUCUCAAGUGAUCCACCCGCCUCGGCCUUCCAAAGUGCUGGAAUUACAAGCAUGAGCCACUGUGCCUGGCCUGGAGUUAUUUUUUUGUCACUGGGUUUUUGAGCAAAGAAAAGGAGUUAUUAACUGGUGAGGAUAAGUUUGUGUUUGGUAAGUCGUCUUCUGAAGCUGAUAGGAUUUAUAAGCCGGGUAAAUUGUGGUGCUGGUUCAUCUUUGAGAGCCAGCCUUAAGAAUUGGCCCACUGACUGCCGGGCGUGGUGGCUCACGUCUGUAAUCCCAGCACUUUGGGAGGCCGAGGCGGGUGGAUCACCCGAAGUCGGGAGUUCGAGACCAGCCUGGUCAACAUGGUGAAACCCCGUCUCUACUAAAAACAUAAAAAUUAGCCAGGUGUGGUGGUGGGUGCCUGUAAUCCCAGCUACUCGGGAGGCUGAGGCAGAGAAUUGCUUGAACCCAGAAGGCGGAAAGGUUGCAGUGAACCAAGAUCACACUACUGCGCUCCAGCCUGGGCGACAGAGUGAGACUGUCUCAAAAAAAAAAAAAAAAAAAGAAAAAGGCCCACUGACAGUCUGUUCCUAGAAACCUGGGUUGUAAAGACGUUGGGUGCUGGGAGCUAGAAGAAGUAAUAAAAGGGUGUUUUCCUAAAUGGGUUAGGGGUUUUCACUCAGAAAGGUUUUUGGGCAGGAGGGGAAAGCCUGAGAAGUUUUCUUCCUCAUGAGUUGUUAUAAAAGUAAUACACGUGUAGUUAGAAAACAAUGCAGAAAGAUGUAAAAUGAAAAGUGUUUCCCCCUUCUACUGUUUCUGCCCUUCAGAAGUAAAUACAAUUAAUUUCUUUGAUAACUUUCUAUUAUUUGGAUAUAUCAGGUUUUAUUUGCCUGUAUGUAUGUAUUUUUAAUUUCCUAAGAUGGGGGGGUCAUACUAUACAUCGGUCGGGACCUUAGUCAUGUUGUGAUAUGGACAGCUUUCUUACCAGUACUCAUAAGCCUGCUUCGUUUUUUACAUGGCGGCACCACUGAGUGGUUGACUGUACUGCAAUCAUUUCCAUGUUGAUGGUCACUUAGGUCGUUCCCAAGAUUUUGCUUUCCCACAAUGUUUCAUCCAACCUUUCUUGGAUGAAAUAUUUUAGUCCAAGUCACCCCUAAGUGAUUCUGCUUUUCCCUACUCACCACCCUAGGUUAGUAACAGCUUACUUUGGGGGAUGAGCACACCUUAUUAACUGAGCAAAAACCAAGAUAAUAUGAGAAGAACUGGUGUACUCCUAAGAAUAUCCAAGCUGCUGGGUCUAGAAUCAAUUAAAGUCUCCUAAGAAAUGGGUCAGGGAACCUUUAGAGAAGGGAUGACUAGGUGCUGGGUGCACGGCAGCAGCUAGUCAGCAUUAGUGAUUGUUGGCUUCUGUCAAUUGUUGCCCAGGAAACGGAUUUGAGAGAUUCUCUGAGGUAGGAGGGAUUUUAAAUGUCAACUCUCCUGCUAUGUAUUAUAUGUCUGGAAGGGAUUAGUUCUUUGAGGGAAGAAAGUAUUAAAGAAAACAAUGGGCCGGGCACGGUGGCUCACACCUGUAAUCCCAGCACUUUGGGAGGCCGAGGCAAGGCGGGCGGAUCAUGAGAUCAGGAGAUCGAGACCAUCCUGGCUAACAUGGUGAAACCUCAUUUCUACUAAAAAUACAAAAAAAAUUAGCUGGGCCUGGUGGCACGCACCGUAGUCCCAGCUACUUAGGAGGCUGAGGCAGGAGAAUUGCUUGAACCUGGGAGGCAGAGGUUGCAGUGAGCCACUGCACUCCAGCCUGGGCAACAGAGCAAGACUCCAUCUCAAAAAAAAAAAAGAAAAUGAGCGCCUCUGCCCGGCCUCCCCGUCUGGGAGGUGAGGAGUGCCUCUGCCCGGCCGCCACCCCGUCUGGGAGGAAGUGAGGAGCACCUCUGCCCGGCCACCCCGUCUGGGAGAUGAGGAGCACCUCUGCCCGGCCGCCCUGUCUGGGAGUUGAGGAGCGCCUCUGCCUGGCCGCCACCCCGUCUGGGAGGAAGUGAGGAGCGCCUCUGCCUGGCGGCCCCAUCUGGGAAGUGAGGAGCGCCUCUGCCCGGCCGCCACCCCGUCUGGGAAGCGAGGAGCGCCUCUGCCUGGCCGCCCCGUCUGGGAGGUGAGGAGCGCCUCUGCCCGGCCGCCCAUCGUCUGGGAGGUGAGGAGCGCCUCUGCCCAGCCGCCCCGUCUGGGAGGUGAGGAGCGCCUCUGCCCAGCCGCCACCCCGUCUGGGAGGAAGUGAGGAGCGCCUCUGCCCGGCCGCCACCCUGUCUGGGAGGAAGUGAGGAGCGCCUCUGUCCGGCCGCCCCGUCUGGGAAGUGAGGAGCGCCUCUGCCCGGCCGCCCCGUCAGGGAGGUGAGGGGGACCUCUGCCCGGCCGCCCCGUCUGGGAUGUGAGGAGCGCCUCUGCCCAGCCGCCCCGUCUGGGAGGUGAGGAGCGUCUCUGCCCGGCCGCCCCGUCUGGGAGGUGAGGAGCGCCUCUGCCCAGCCGCCCCGUCUGGGAUGUGAGGAGCGCCUCUGCCCGGCCGCCACCCCAUCUGGGAGGAAGUGAGGAGUGCCUCUGCCCGGCCGCCCCGUCUGGGGGGUGAGGAGCGCCUCUGCCCGGCCGCCCCGUCUGGGAGAUGAGGAGGACCUCUGCCCGGCCGCCCCGUCUAGGAUGUGAGGAGCGCCUCUGCCCGGCCACCCCGUCUGGGAGGUGAGGAACGCCUCUGUGCGGCCGCCCCGUCUGGGAAGUGAGGAGCGCCUCUGCCCGGCCGCCACCCCGUCUGGGAGGAAGUGAGGAGUGCCUCUGCCCGGCCGCCCUGUCUGGGAAGUGAGGAGCGCCUCUGCCCGGCCGCCCUUUCUGGGAGGUGAGGAGUGCCUCUGCCUGGCUGCCACCCUGUCUGGGAGGAAGUGAGGAGCGCCUCUGCCCAGCCGCCUCGUCUGGGAGGUGAGGAGCGUCUCUGCCCGGCCGCCCCGUCUGGGAGGUGAGGAGCGCCUCUGCCCAGCCGCCCCGUCUGGGAGGUGAGGAGCGCCUCUGCCCGGCCGCCCUGUCUGGGAGAAGUCUGAAACGUUUUUUCUUAGAGUUCCAGAAUUGAGACUGAAGUGUACCCAGAGACACAAAGAAAUACAGAAGUCCAGAAUGAUCAAAUGAUAUCACUACCCAAUGAAAUGAUGGACUGAGGAGCCAGAAGUUGUCCUACUACCUGCUUUCCAGGUCCAGGUUCCACGAGAGCCUUCUGGGCUCCCACCAGAGAGCCUCAGUGAACACUCUGUUGAAGAUUUUAAGACCAUGCUAGAAAGCCUCCUGGCAGAGAUUCAGGAAGUUCUGCUAUGAGGAUGCAGCUGGCCCCAGGGAUGUCCUCAGGCAUCUCUAGGACCUUGCUGGACGGUGGCUGAGACCUGAUAUCCACACAAAGGAGCAGACUGUGGAAAUGCUGGUGCAGGAGCGAUUCCAGGCUGUCCUGCCCGAGGAGCUCAGAGCUCAACCACACAGAUGUGAGCCUGGAAUCAGAAUCACUGGCUAAGUGUUGCUGCUUGCUUCUUGCUCAGCCUACAUAUGAGAAGUCAACCAAGCGUUCUCUUGGAUGCAAGAUCCAGCUGCACCCGUGGGAAAUCUGAACUUCCACUUUCUUUGAGCUUGUCUUUGGUUGUAAUAAGAAUCCAUCAAAACCCAUGUCUGGAUCUCUCUCUGGCUGAGGCAGCUUUAUUUCCUACAGAAAGAGUUUCUCUGUCCUCCUGUUAGGACAAUCAGCCUGCUGCUUUGGGCUUUUCCAAGAGCCUAUUUUUCGUCUGCUGGAUGCCUCUUUUUUUUUUUUUUUUUUUGCACUUUGUGACAUGCUUUAAUAUAUUGUUUUUAUGUAUCCAAAGAGGUAAUCAACUUUAACUUUCAGAAUUCAUGAAUCUUGGUUUGGUGGCAUGAAUGAAAGCUUAUGUAACCCCACUAGUAACUCAUUUGGGGUGCCCUUGAAAUAUUAAAGUUUGGUCCUCAAUAAA
Pongo pygmaeus (Bornean orangutan) is the source of this 4378-nucleotide long non-coding RNA. RefSeq lists it as uncharacterized. Lineage: Eukaryota; Metazoa; Chordata; Mammalia; Primates; Hominidae. The transcript is spliced from 2 exons. The record is from RefSeq and is a predicted model, not a curated record.